UUUGGACUAAGAACCAGAUCAAGAUAAAACAAAAUCAAAAUUGCAGAAAAAUUGAUGAAGUUCAGAACAUCUACAAAUCAAGAAUUUAUUUGUAAGUUCAGUUUCUUAUCGAUCACAUUAUACCCUCUCUCACCUUGUUGUUUGUCAUGAUUGGCCAUGCACACAUCUAGUAUUCGUGAAUGUUCUAGUGUCAUAACUUUAGAGGACUGGCCUG
RNAcentral lists this long non-coding RNA (214 nucleotides) under Solanum tuberosum (potato). RNAcentral describes it as "long non-coding RNA (STUB_LNC008822)". The record is from RNAcentral. Lineage: Eukaryota; Viridiplantae; Streptophyta; Magnoliopsida; Solanales; Solanaceae.